This 23-nucleotide small nuclear RNA is filed under the name Arabidopsis thaliana (thale cress). Its description in RNAcentral is "snRNA_15861". The record is from RNAcentral. Lineage: Eukaryota; Viridiplantae; Streptophyta; Magnoliopsida; Brassicales; Brassicaceae.
AAACCGAUACUCGAAUUUUCGGG